This 602-nucleotide long non-coding RNA is filed under the name Olea europaea subsp. europaea. The record is from RNAcentral. Lineage: Eukaryota; Viridiplantae; Streptophyta; Magnoliopsida; Lamiales; Oleaceae.
CCCCGCAAGAUGGAGAGUAGAUAUCAAUUAUUCCCAUCUUGUUCAUGCGUGAAUAAAGACUUGAAGAAUUCAAUGCCUUAGUUAACAUGUCUGCCACUUGAGAACCAGUGUGAACAUACUCAGUAGUAAUGCUUCCACUUUGUAUCUUAUUUCGAACAAGAUGACAAUCAAUCUCUAUGUGCUUGGUUCUUUCAUGGAAAAUGAGAUUUGUGGCGAUAUAGAUGACAGACGUGUUAUAACAGUAUAACCUUGCUGCCUGGCUAUGUUCAAUCUGCAGAUCUUCAAAUAGAAAUUUCAUCCAUGUCAGUUCAUAACAGAGUUGUGCUAUUGCUCUGUAUUCGGCUCUAGAGGAUGAUAUUGAAACCACAUUUUUGCUUCUUUGACUUCCAUGAUACUAGUGAUGAUCCUAUCAACACAAAAUAACAUGUCACGGAUUUCCUACUAUCUGGACAUGCUCCUCAAUCUGAAUUCAAAUAACCUUUCAGCCGGAGAUCAAAUGUGGAAGAGUAAAAUAGGCCAUGACCUGGUGCCCUUAAAAUAUCUUAUCACUUUGUGUGCUGCAUAUAGAUGUGGUAUUCUAGGUUUGUCCAUGUAUUGACUCA